CGCGUAGACGGUUUUGUAAGUCAGAUGUGAAAUCCCUGGGCUCAACCUGGGAACUGCAUUUGAUACUGCAUGGCUAGAGUAUGGAAGAGGGAAGUGGAAUUUCCGGUGUAGCGGUGAAAUGCGUAGAUAUCGGAAGGACACCAGUGGCGAAAGCGACUUCCUGGUCCAAUACUGACGUUCAUGUGCGAAAGCGUGGGGAGCAAACAGGAUUAGAUACCCUGGUAGUCCACGCCAUAAACGAUGACAACUAGAUGUUGGGAGGGUCUGCCUCUCGGUGUCGCAGCUAACGCGUUAAGUUGUCCGCCUGGGGAGUACGGCCGCAAGGUUGAA
Molecule: ribosomal RNA, 330 nt
Filed under: uncultured bacterium
Lineage: Bacteria
Description: bacterial SSU rRNA
Rfam family: Bacterial small subunit ribosomal RNA
Source: RNAcentral